AGCACAGCAGGUAGUUAAGGUUAGAUGCUAAUCUUACAAAGCCAGACAUUACUUCACAGCACAGCAGAGUAACUAACGUUAGAUGCUAGCUAUCACAUAACCA
This is a long non-coding RNA of Etheostoma spectabile (orangethroat darter), 103 nucleotides long. RefSeq lists it as uncharacterized. Lineage: Eukaryota; Metazoa; Chordata; Actinopteri; Perciformes; Percidae. The transcript has 4 exons. The record is from RefSeq and is a predicted model, not a curated record.